ACAUAGCCCUGAUUGAGCUGAUAUCCUCGAAGCAGCGCGCAGAGAUAAAGGCGAAAGCAGGACAACUA
RNAcentral lists this unclassified non-coding RNA (68 nucleotides) under Flavobacterium omnivorum. Its description in RNAcentral is "Flavo-1 RNA". Lineage: Bacteria; Pseudomonadati; Bacteroidota; Flavobacteriia; Flavobacteriales; Flavobacteriaceae. The record is from RNAcentral.